This 25-nucleotide non-coding RNA is filed under the name Rattus norvegicus (Norway rat). The record is from RNAcentral. Lineage: Eukaryota; Metazoa; Chordata; Mammalia; Rodentia; Muridae.
UGUAGUGCUUAGCCUUUCUAGGCAA